This 496-nucleotide ribosomal RNA is filed under the name uncultured bacterium. Its description in RNAcentral is "partial 16S ribosomal RNA". It matches the Rfam family "Bacterial small subunit ribosomal RNA", at positions 29 to 507 of the family's 1533-position model. The record is from RNAcentral.
AUGAACGCUGGCGGUGUGCCUAAUCCAUGCCAGUCGAGCGCACGGACGAGAAGCUUGCUUCUCUGAUGUUAGCGGCGGACGGGUGAGUAACACGUGGAUAACCUACCUAUAAGACUGGGAUAACUUCGGGAAACCGGAGCUAAUACCGGAUAAUAUUUUGAACCGCAUGGUUCAAAAGUGAAAGACGGUCUUGCUGUCACUUAUAGAUGGAUCCGCGCUGCAUUAGCUAGUUGGUAAGGUAACGGCUUACCAAGGCAACGAUGCAUAGCCGACCUGAGAGGGUGAUCGGCCACACUGGAACUGAGACACGGUCCAGACUCCUACGGGAGGCAGCAGUAGGGAAUCUUCCGCAAUGGGCGAAAGCCUGACGGAGCAACGCCGCGUGAGUGAUGAAGGUCUUCGGAUCGUAAAACUCUGUUAUUAGGGAAGAACAUAUGUGUAAGUAACUGUGCACAUCUUGACGGUACCUAAUCAGAAAGCCACGGCUAACUACGUG